CAUGGAGGGUGAGAAUCCCGUCCGGUUGAUCAUUUGCGUUUUACGAUACGCUUUCUAAGAGUCAAGUUGUUUGGGAUUGCAGCUUAAAAUGGGAGGUAAAUUUCUCCUAAGGCUAAAUAACGGCGAGAGACCGAUAGCGAACAAGUACCGUGAGGGAAAGAUGAAAAGAACUUUGAAAAGAGAGUUAAACAGUACGUGAAAUUGUUGAAAGGGAAACGAUUGAAGCCAGUCGUACCUUCGGGUAAUCAGCCUUUCGGGUGUGAUUCUGUGGAGUGUGAGGAGCUUAAACACCUUCAUGUUUUGCAUAUUCGUACUCUUGGGUGUACUUGCCCGUGUGGUUGGUUAACAUCAAUUUUGGUGGUCAUAAAAUGACUGGAGGAAUGUAGCUUCGAUCUUGUAUUGAAGUGUUAUAGCCUUCGGUAGAUGUGAUGAUCGAGAUUGAGGAUUGCAACGGAUACCCUUCGGGGCUACCUGUCUGGUCUCUGAUCGUUGCUCUGGUGCCGAAAGCUUGCUUACGGUUAUCAAAGUCGAUGGUCAAUAGGUUAGAACGGGUUAAAUUCGUUAAGGAUGUUGACGUAAUGG
Molecule: ribosomal RNA, 582 nt
Filed under: uncultured Rhizophagus
Lineage: Eukaryota; Fungi; Glomeromycota; Glomeromycetes; Glomerales; Glomeraceae
Description: LSU rRNA
Rfam family: Eukaryotic large subunit ribosomal RNA
Source: RNAcentral